UAACUCUCAUUUCCAUUGGGACUUCCUUUUAUGUUCCCCGCAAAACCUAAAAUCAGGAGAAACGGGUUUGGAAGACUGAUUUUAUAAAUCACAUCCACUUGGCUUCUUUAAGUGAUAAGCAAUGUGUCAUUUUCUCUGUAGAGUGUGUACGCAGCUGGGAAAUGAGUUAUUUAUAAUAAUCAGACUUCACACGUAUGUACAUAUUUGCAUAGUAAGCACAUCAUAUGGUACUAUGAGUUAAUGGCAUUUGGUGGUAACCUUGGUAUCUUCAGUAUAUCUAAGCAGUUAAUGUGGUUUGUUAGAAUUUGCAGGCUGUUGCCCAUGAAUAUUUUAGCCUAUUGGUGCUGCAACCUGUCUACCAGAGAUUAAAGGCAUUUUAAGUUCUAAUCUGUCUCAAGGGAUGGGUAAGGAGGUAAGGGGCUGAUAUUCUACAGAAGAGAAUUAAAUUUCCCUAUCCUCUUAAUUUCCUACCUUAGCUUCCUGGCCUUCACACACCUACCUUAAUCAUAUUUAUCAUGAUUUUCCAUUCAAGGUUAUUGUUUUCCUGGUCUUCGCCUAUUUUAUUCAAAGUCUCUUCGUCUUUUCAGAUAGUUAUUCUAUAUCUUCUUUUCACAGGGCCAAAUUUGGUGUGGAGUUACAUCUCCAUCUUUCAUUUGGUACCUUUGAAUGAAAAGAUACCCUCUGACAAGGCUCAGUUCUUUAUGAGGAUCACUGUCAAGCACAUUGCUUGACGGGUGGCAUAUAUGUGGGAGAAUUCAUUUGAACAGAUUUUCUAUCGAAGGAUAAAUACACCCCCAAAUCACAAUGGUAAUCAGAGCCAGCCACCUCAUUUCUGAUGAUUUUACAAAUCAGUUGGUCUUCAGAGAUGAGUCAACAUGACACUGUGCCCACACUGAGUUGUUUUGGCUGCGGGGGUGGGGGUUGCUUUUCACUCUCUCUUUAAAAAUUUCAGCUGCAUUUGUGAGUGUUUUCAUCCUUUGCUAAAAUAUGUUUUUAAAAUUGUGAUUAACAGUCAUUUUCAGACCCAGAUAUUGGCUCUCUUUUGCCAAAGAGACACAGCAUGAAGAACAGGCAAACAGCAAAAUAAUACAAGAGGGUAUGUUUAUUCAUCAGAAAUCGUGUUAAUGACUACAUCUGCCCCUCUCAUUUUGGGCUUGCUGGGAUCAUCUCUGUACUUCUGAUUUGUUGAUGUUUCCCCCUACAGUGAAAUCUCUUCAUAUUGCACCCCAUCAAUAAAAGAGUGCCCAUGGCUGGUCUAACAUUUAUGCUCAGAGUGUAAGUUAGAGCAAUUUAAAAUUUGAAAACUAUAAUCAGGCUGGGCGCAGUGGCUCACGCCUGUAAUCCCAGCACUUUGGGAGGCUGAAGUGGGUGGAUCAUGAGGUCAGGAGUUUGAGACCAGCCUGGCCAAGAUGAUGAAACCCCAUCUCUACUAAAAAUACAAAAAUUAGCCGGGUGCAGUGGCAGGUG
RNAcentral lists this long non-coding RNA (1467 nucleotides) under Macaca fascicularis (crab-eating macaque). Its description in RNAcentral is "lncRNA (ENSMFAG00000054273.1)". Lineage: Eukaryota; Metazoa; Chordata; Mammalia; Primates; Cercopithecidae. The record is from RNAcentral.